Long non-coding RNA from Zalophus californianus (California sea lion), 388 nucleotides. RefSeq lists it as uncharacterized. Lineage: Eukaryota; Metazoa; Chordata; Mammalia; Carnivora; Otariidae. The transcript is spliced from 3 exons. The record is from RefSeq and is a predicted model, not a curated record.
UCGGCUCUUUUUUCCGGGUUAAUUACGUUUCGCAUUAAAGCAAAACCCAGCCCCGGAUGAUUAGAGAUUAUUAAUCUCCUUUUACAGAUGGAAGAAUUUAGGUUUUCAGGAGAGAGAUACAAUCUCAGCAUCACAUGGCCAGGCAUGAGAUGAAUCCACCUGAAUCCUCAUUCAGUGACCCUGCCCAACACCCAAGUGAGGCCCAAAUCCGAUAGGAUUGGUCACCUUAUAAGAAGAGGAAGAGAUCUCUCCCUCUCUCCAUGUGCACCAAGGAAAGGCUACGUGAAUGCCCAGCAAGAAGGUGGCCACCUGCAUGCAAGCCAGGAGGAGAGCUGUCCCCAGAACCUGACAUGCUGGCAAACUGAUGUCGGACUCCAGCCUCCAGAAC